RNAcentral lists this long non-coding RNA (357 nucleotides) under Nicotiana tabacum (common tobacco). Its description in RNAcentral is "long non-coding RNA (NTAB_LNC000990)". Lineage: Eukaryota; Viridiplantae; Streptophyta; Magnoliopsida; Solanales; Solanaceae. The record is from RNAcentral.
AUAUACCGCAAGCAAAUUAAAAUACCAUUGAUGCCUUGGUUCCUUUACGCUUUCCUUGAGGUGCUCCAAUGAAUUAACUGAUUCAAGGACCUAAUCCAUGGAUGAGGAGAGAAAUCGGAAUCCACGAGAAGAGUUAUUUCCUAAAAUGCAAAAAUUUGUAUCAGGGCAAUCAUCUUUUUAACAUAUAGAAGGGAAUGAAGAAAUUUAUGAAUGCAGUAUCUGCCUUUCAAAUACCAGAAGGAUCAAAGAGAUGUAUUUACUUUUUAGUAGCAAAAACAGGUUAAACAUAUAUCAACAGACGCUUUUCAAGGCCUAUAAUAUCCUGACUUUGUCUUUAAAGCUAUCAGCUUUUAUAUU